RNAcentral lists this transfer RNA (73 nucleotides) under Mus musculus (house mouse). It matches the Rfam family "tRNA". Rfam says of the family: Transfer RNA (tRNA) molecules are approximately 80 nucleotides in length. Their secondary structure includes four short double-helical elements and three loops (D, anti-codon, and T loops). The record is from Rfam by way of RNAcentral. Lineage: Eukaryota; Metazoa; Chordata; Mammalia; Rodentia; Muridae.
UGGGAUGUAGCUCAGUUGGUAGAGUGCUUGCUUAAUAUGCAUGAAGCCCUGGGUUCAAUUCCCAGUACCGUAU